UGAGCCCUGAAUCAAGGCCGACAGCUUGCUGUGGCUGUUGGUUUCAAACAGCGGCUAAAAUUAAAGUCUUCAGAUGGUCUGUUGAAUUUCUCAGAACUUACUAAAUGGGAAAAUCAGUUCAGUUAGAAGAGACAUUU
Neoarius graeffei (lesser salmon catfish) is the source of this 137-nucleotide small nucleolar RNA. The record is from RefSeq and is a predicted model, not a curated record. Lineage: Eukaryota; Metazoa; Chordata; Actinopteri; Siluriformes; Ariidae.